Molecule: ribosomal RNA, 223 nt
Filed under: uncultured bacterium
Lineage: Bacteria
Description: partial 16S ribosomal RNA
Rfam family: Bacterial small subunit ribosomal RNA
Source: RNAcentral
UAAUGAAUCGCUAAUGUACCCCGGACUCUGGGAUAGCCAGUCGAAAGACUGGGUAAUACCAGAUGAUAUAACCCCUCCGCAUGGCGGGGUUCUCAACGGUCCGCCGGUCUGGGAGCAGGCGAUUUCGUAUCAGCUAGUUGGUGAGGUAACGGCUCACCAAGGCGACGACGCGUAGCCGGACUGAGAGGUUGGCCGGCCACAUUGGGACUGAGACACUGCCCAG